This 838-nucleotide ribosomal RNA is filed under the name Varicellaria velata. RNAcentral's name for it is "mitochondrial SSU rRNA". It matches the Rfam family "Bacterial small subunit ribosomal RNA", at positions 368 to 1270 of the family's 1533-position model. The record is from RNAcentral. Lineage: Eukaryota; Fungi; Ascomycota; Lecanoromycetes; Pertusariales; Pertusariaceae.
AUGUAUAGCGAAAGCUAGUUGCAUUAAUUAACAGUUAGUGUAGCAUUGACUAUGUUAACUAAAGUUCUAGGUAGAGUUAUGAUUAUGACAUUUUCUAUCUAUGUGUCUUGACCAAAUCACGUGCCAGCAGUCGCGGUAAUACGUGGAAGACUAGUGUUAUUCAUCUUUAGUAGGUUUAAAGCGUACUUAGACGGUAAAUUCAGCCCAAUAAAUAAGGGUACUGAUAAGACUAGAGUUUUAUACGAGGGGGAACGGGAGUACUACCAGUGUAGAGAUGAAAUAUUUUGAUACUGCUAGGACUGGCAACGGCGAAAGCAACCCUUUAUGUAAAAACUGACGUUGAAGGACGAAGGCUUGGUUCACCAACAGGAUUAGUUACCCCAGCAGUCUGAGCAGACAAUGAUGAAUGUCAUAGAUAAGAAAUAUUACUAUCUUAAUUAAUAUAGUGAUAACCUGUCUAUAAAUGAAAGUGUAAGCAUUCCACCUCAAGAGUAAUGCGGCAACGCAGAAACUGAAAUCAUUAGACCGUUUCUGAAACCAGUAGUGAAGUAUGUUCUUUAAUUAGUAAAUACACUAAAAACCUCACCACAAUUUGUAUGUUUAUUUCAUCUAAACACAAGCGUUGCACGGCUGUUUUCAGUUAAUGUCGUGAGAUUUUGGUUAGUUCCAUUAAUUAGCGCAAACCCUUACUUUAUUUAAUUUAAUAUAUAAAGUCGUUCUCCGCUAGAUUGGAUAAGAUAACAGGGACUAAGACAAGUCAUCAUGACCUAAACAUUGUGGGCUAGAGACGUGCCACAUGAGACUACACAAAGGGAUGCAAAAUUGUGAAAUUGAGCUA